Molecule: ribosomal RNA, 459 nt
Filed under: uncultured bacterium
Lineage: Bacteria
Description: partial 16S ribosomal RNA
Rfam family: Bacterial small subunit ribosomal RNA
Source: RNAcentral
CCUACGGGGGACAGCAGUGAGGAAUAUUGGUCAAUGGCCGUAAGGCUGAACCAGCCAAGUCGCGUGAGGGAGGAAGGCGCAGUGGGUCGUAGACCUCUUUUGUCGGGGGACAAAGGGCGGGACGUGUCCGGUCCUGAAGGUACCCUGAGAAAAAGCAUCGGCUAACUCCGUGCCAGCAGCCGCGGUAAUACGGAGGAUGCGAGCGUUAUCCGGAUUCAUUGGGUUUAAAGGGUGCGCAGGCGGCACGUUAAGUCGGCGGUGAAAUCGCGGGGCUCAACCCCGCCGAGCCGUCGAAACUGGGGGGCUUGAGUGCGGGGGAGGCAUGCGGAAUGCGGGGUGUAGCGGUGAAAUGCAUAGAUAUCGCGCAGAACCCCGAUUGCGAAGGCAGCGUGCCGUGCCGCCACUGACGCUGAGGCACGAAAGCGCGGGGAUCGAACAGGAUUAGAUACCCGAGUAGUC